Non-coding RNA from Benincasa hispida (wax gourd), 2331 nucleotides. The record is from RefSeq and is a predicted model, not a curated record. NCBI's taxonomy places the organism in Eukaryota, Viridiplantae, Streptophyta, Magnoliopsida, Cucurbitales, Cucurbitaceae.
CGGUUUGAUUGAAACUAUCAAGUUUGCUACCGUUUCUCUUCUUCACACCUCCUUCAGAUUGAAGCUUUCCAUUGCACUCUAUUGUCUAUCCUCUCUCUCGAUUUCUUUCUUUCGUCUCUCAACCGUUCUUUCCGUUUCUGAUCGCUCAAGAUCUAUCCGUCUCUUGCGCUUUCUUCACCUCUGAUCUCUCGAGCUCUCUUUGAUUUCGUUGCCAACUCUCUGGCUGUUCUUCCAGUGUCAGGUGUACGCUUGUGAGAUGAACGAAUUUUGGUUCUGUUCUGAUGUGUGAGAUCUUGAAUACUUUAAGUGCCCAAGGGCUGUUCUAGAGGGAAGAUAUUGGGUGUUGCAUUACCUUUAGGUGUUAAGAGAGGCCUUCAAUAUGCGUACAUAUGCAAGGCGAAAAAAUCAUGAUUCCAACCAAUUGGUAGCGAGUAAAAGGUUGGCUUUAUGUAAUUAGGGAGAAUAUCGGGUAUGCAUGCACAAAGUGAUUUCCUACACCCAUAACUUGUAAUUCUACUACAUAGUUGCAUGGGGAAAGGCUGAAAGGAGGAGGGGAGAUGGUUCAUUUUUGGCUUUAGAUUAUGUUGGAGAGUAUUAGACCUCUCAAACAUCUGAGAGGGCUGUAAUUGUUCUUCUUCUACUCAGUAAUAUGAUUAUUUUUUUGGUGUGUUCUAUGAAUACCCUCUUUCUAUUUACACUCUAAAGGACUUAACAUUUUCUAUUCUGCUUGUGUAAUAUCUGCAUGUGGUUCAUUUAGACAACCUGCUAAUCAUACCUAUGGUGAGAGAGAUCAGCUGAUUAAUUUCGUUGAUAUACUUUCUGAAGUCUGAUUUUCCAGUAUACAGUGAAAUUAGGUGACUAGUGUUUUUCUCUUCUAUUUCUCUCUUUUUAGAUUUUGAGGUAGGUUAAAUGAUGAAAUAACAGAAAUAGCUAGUGGUUGAGGACUCGUAAUGAAACCUCCAACUGAGUUCUACCCCUUAACACCAUCCAAAUCGCAAUGUUUUCUUUAAAUGCUAUCUUUUUUCUCCUAGAUCUUUAACCCGUAAUCUUCACAGUUAUUGUUUGUUAGUUUUUGGAACUCAAAGUAGUCGCUUAAGCAUGGCUGAAAAUGUUGAACGAUUUUUGUAAAUAAAGCAUAGACAGGAACAGAGAAUGAAGAAGUGGUUGUCUUCUCCUACUUGAUUAGACAUAACACUUCUUAGAGGUUACAUGCUGAAAAGGUUGAAACGAUUUUUGUAAAUAAAGCAUGGGCAGGAACAGAGAAUGAAGAAGUGGUUUGUCUUCUCCUACUCCGUUAGACAUAACACUUCUUAGAGGUUACAGGCUGAAAAUGUUGAAACCAUUUUUGUAAAUAAAGCAUGGACAGGAACAGAGAAUGAAGAAGUGGUUUGUCUUCUCCUACUCCAUUAAAUAUAACACUUAGAGGUUACAUUUCUACACUUGCGGUUACAUUCAUAAUUCAUUAGCAUUAGUUUAUCACGAGACACUUAUUUAUUAGGUUUGAAUUACGGGAAUGUAUAAUGCCUAGGUUGUAAGGUGCAUUAUCUAUAAUGCAUGGUUUUCUUCUACAACUUAGGCCUUAUCAAAACAUAGGCCUUUGAACCGCAGGCUAUAUAUUCUCGGGCUUUUUAAAUCAACAGGAAAAAUGCCAGCUUACAGAUCUAUAUUGUGGGGCUUGGAGGGAGAGGAACAAUAGAAUGUUUAAUUUUUAGAGGGGUGGAUAGGGAAACUUGGGAUAUUUGGUCCUCUACUAGGUUCCAUUUUUGCCUUUGGAGGUUAGUGACAAAGUCCUUUUGUAAUUAUUCGUUAGGUAUUUUGUUAGUCGAAUGGAAUCGCAUUCUUCAGUGGGACUUUAUUUUAGGGGCUUAUAUUUUUGGAUGCUCUAGUGUUCUUUUACUUUUUCUCAAUGUAAGUUUGGUUCUUCGUCAUAAAAUUUGCUAGCUUACAGAUCUAUCAAGCAAGUGAGAAAAAUAUAAUUAUAUUUAGAAGGUUAAAAAUCACUUUUAGUUCCUAAACUUUCAUAGAAGUAACAAUUUAGUCCCUGAAUUUUGAUUUGUAACGAUUUAGUCCUUGUACUUUUAAUUUUGUAAUAAUUUAGUCCUUGGAUUUUAAUAUUUAACAAUUCAGUCCUUAUAAUUUCAAAUUUGCCCAUGGGAAGGUUUAAUGAUUUUUCUUACAUAAAUAAACCGAUAAACUAAUUAAAGAUUCAAUAUUUUUAUUACAAAGUCUACAUCAUAAAAUAAUAAAAAUUGACAUAAACUUUUGAUGAAUUUUUUUACAUUAGGGACUAAAUUGUUACAAAUUUGAAAGACAGUAAGGACUAAAUUAUAC